This 253-nucleotide ribosomal RNA is filed under the name uncultured bacterium. RNAcentral describes it as "partial 16S ribosomal RNA". It matches the Rfam family "Bacterial small subunit ribosomal RNA", at positions 524 to 776 of the family's 1533-position model. The record is from RNAcentral.
UACGGGGGGGGCAAGCGUUGUUCGGAAUUACUGGGCGUAAAGGGCUCGUAGGUGGCCAACUAAGUCAGACGUGAAAUCCCUCGGCUUAACCGGGGAACUGCGUCUGAUACUGGAUGGCUUGAGUUUGGGAGAGGGAUGCGGAAUUCCAGGUGUAGCGGUGAAAUGCGUAGAGAUCCGGAAGAACACCGGUGGCGAAGGCGGCCUGCUGGGCUAUGGCUGACACUGAGGCGCGACAGCGUGGGGAGCAAACAGG